RNAcentral lists this ribosomal RNA (253 nucleotides) under uncultured bacterium. Its description in RNAcentral is "partial 16S ribosomal RNA". It matches the Rfam family "Bacterial small subunit ribosomal RNA", at positions 524 to 776 of the family's 1533-position model. The record is from RNAcentral.
GACAGAGGUGCCGAGCGUUAGGCGGAAUCACUGGGCUUAAAGCGUGUGUAGGCGGAUUUGUAAGUACCUUGUGAAAUCCCACGGCUCAACCGCGGAACUGCUUGGUAUACUGGGUCGCUUGAGUCAUCCAGGGGCAACUGGAACAAGCGGUGGAGCGGUGAAAUGCGUAGAUAUCGCUUGGAACGCCAAAGGUGAAAACAGGUUGCUGGGGAUGUUCUGACACUGAGACGCGAAAGCCAGGGGAGCGAACGGG